UACGAAGGGUGCAAACGUUGCUCGGAAUCAUUGGGCGUAAAGCGCACGUAGGCGGCCCAGCAAGUUGGAUGUGAAAUCCCUCGGCUCAACCGAGGACGUGCAUCCAAAACUGCUGGGCUUGAGUACUGAAGAGGAUCGCGGAAUUCCCGGUGUAGAGGUGAAAUUCGUAGAUAUCGGGAGGAACACCAGUGGCGAAGGCGGCGAUCUGGGCAGAUACUGACGCUGAGGUGCGAAAGCGUGGGGAGCAAAUAGG
Molecule: ribosomal RNA, 253 nt
Filed under: uncultured bacterium
Lineage: Bacteria
Description: partial 16S ribosomal RNA
Rfam family: Bacterial small subunit ribosomal RNA
Source: RNAcentral